GUCAGUUUGUCCGAGUGGUUAAGGAGUGAGACUUGAAAUCUCAUGGGCUAUGCCCGCGUAGGUUCAAAUCCUGCAGCUGACG
RNAcentral lists this transfer RNA (82 nucleotides) under Cunninghamella echinulata. RNAcentral's name for it is "tRNA-Ser". It matches the Rfam family "tRNA". Rfam says of the family: Transfer RNA (tRNA) molecules are approximately 80 nucleotides in length. Lineage: Eukaryota; Fungi; Mucoromycota; Mucoromycetes; Mucorales; Cunninghamellaceae. The record is from RNAcentral.